AAAUACACAGCCAAGUGUGAUAAAGAAAGUUACAACAGAAAUAUCCAACCAGGCUUUUCUAACCUAGACAAGGCCAGUGAUUCAGGAAAGGCUUGUCAAAUUAAGUGUUAUCUAAACUGCACGUGGAAGGAUGAAUGGCAAUUAGUGAGGCCAAGAUGACACCAAGAAGUUCCAAGUUGAAAGGACAAAACAUGAAAUUCAGGAGGUGUUCCCUCCACAAUCUUGCAUGAAUGGUUCACUCAAGACUGAUGUGACAAUAUUCCAGAAGCAGUAUUCUGCCACCCUCACUGUCAACAUCAAGCAAUCCAGAGUCUUUUAAACCAAUGUCUGCACAUGGAAGAUUCAUAGAUCCAGCUUUGUGUUCCAGUCCUAAGAAUAAAGAGUUUUCUCUCAAUAUCUUGUUCAUGUCUGGUUGGGAGAUAUAACCAAAAUAUUUUUGACACUUCCACCUUGAAUUUUUC
Molecule: long non-coding RNA, 461 nt
Filed under: Pan troglodytes (chimpanzee)
Lineage: Eukaryota; Metazoa; Chordata; Mammalia; Primates; Hominidae
Description: long non-coding RNA NONPTRT000329
Source: RNAcentral